GACGAACGCUGGCGGCGUGCUUAACACAUGCAAGUCGAACGGAAAGGCCCUGCUCUUGUGGGGUGCUCGAGUGGCGAACGGGUGAGUAAAACGUGAGUAACCUGCCCUUGACUUUGGGAUAACUUCAGGAAACUGGGGCUAAUACCGGAUAGGAGCUCCUGCUGCAUGGUGGGGGAUGGAAAGUUUCGGCGGUUGGGGAUGGACUCGCGGCUUAUCAGCUUGUUUGUGGGGUAGUGGCUUACCAAGGCUUUGACGGGUAGCCGGCCUGAGAGGGUGACCGGGCACAUUGGGACUGAGAUACGGCCCAGACUGCUACGGGAGGCAGCAGUGGGGAAUUUUGCACAAUGGGCGGAAGCCUGAUGCAGCAACGCCGCGUGCGGGAUGAUGGCCUUUGGGUUGUAAACCGAUUUCGCCGGUGACAAACAGUGCGUGACGGUAACUGGUCAAGAAGCCCCGGCUAACUACGUG
RNAcentral lists this ribosomal RNA (468 nucleotides) under uncultured bacterium. Its description in RNAcentral is "partial 16S ribosomal RNA". It matches the Rfam family "Bacterial small subunit ribosomal RNA", at positions 28 to 507 of the family's 1533-position model. The record is from RNAcentral.